ACGGAAGGCAGCAGUGGGGAAUAUUGCACAAUGGGCGAAAGCCUGAUGCAGCGACGCCGCGUGAGUGAAGAAGUAUCUCGGUAUGUAAAGCUCUAUCAGCAGGGAAGAAAAUGACGGUACCUGACUAAGAAGCCCCGGCUAACUACGUGCCAGCAGCCGCGGUAAUACGUAGGGGGCAAGCGUUAUCCGGAUUUACUGGGUGUAAAGGGAGCGUAGACGGCUUUGCAAGUCUGAAGUGAAAGCUCGGGGCUCAACUCCGGAACUGCUUUGGAAACUGUAGAGCUAGAGUGCAGGAGAGGUAAGUGGAAUUCCUAGUGUAGCGGUGAAAUGCGUAGAUAUUAGGAGGAACACCAGUGGCGAAGGCGGCUUACUGGACUGUAACUGACGUUGAGGCUCGAAAGCGUGGGGAGCAAACAGGAUUAGAUACCCUGGUA
Molecule: ribosomal RNA, 434 nt
Filed under: uncultured Lachnospiraceae bacterium
Lineage: Bacteria; Bacillati; Bacillota; Clostridia; Lachnospirales; Lachnospiraceae
Description: partial 16S ribosomal RNA
Rfam family: Bacterial small subunit ribosomal RNA
Source: RNAcentral